GACGAACGCUGGCGGCGUGCUUAACACAUGCAAGUCGAACGGAAAGGCCCUGCUUUUGUGGGGUGCUCGAGUGGCGAACGGGUGAGUAACACGUGAGUAACCUGCCCUUGACUUUGGGAUAACUUCAGGAAACUGGGGCUAAUACCGGAUAGGAGCUCCUGCUGCAUGGUGGGGGUUGGAAAUUUUCGGCGGUUGGGGAUGGACUCGCGGCUUAUCAGCUUGUUGGUGGGGUAGUGGCUUACCAAGGCUUUGACGGGUAGCCGGCCUGAGAGGGUGACCGGCCACAUUGGGACUGGGUAACGGCCCAGACUCCUACGGGAGGCAGAAGUGGGGAUUAUUGCACAAUGGGCGGAAGCCGGAUGAAGCAACGCCGCGUGCGGGAUGACGGCCUUCGGGUUGUAAACCGCUUUCGCCUGUGACGAGGCGUGAGUGACGGUAAUGGGUAAAGAAGCACCGGCUAACUACGUG
This 468-nucleotide ribosomal RNA is filed under the name uncultured bacterium. RNAcentral's name for it is "partial 16S ribosomal RNA". It matches the Rfam family "Bacterial small subunit ribosomal RNA", at positions 28 to 507 of the family's 1533-position model. The record is from RNAcentral.